Molecule: ribosomal RNA, 442 nt
Filed under: uncultured bacterium
Lineage: Bacteria
Description: partial 16S ribosomal RNA
Rfam family: Bacterial small subunit ribosomal RNA
Source: RNAcentral
CCUACGGGCGGCAGCAGUGGGGAAUAUUGGGCAAUGGACGCAAGUCUGACCCAGCAACGCCGCGUGAAGGAAGAAGGCUUUCGGGUUGUAAACUUCUGUUAAGGGGGAAGAGCAGAAGACGGUACCCCUUGAAUAAGCCACGGCUAACUACGUGCCAGCAGCCGCGGGAAUCCGUAAGUGGCAAGCGGUGGUCGGAUUUACUGGGUGUAAAGGGCGUGCAGCCGGGAAGGAAAGUCAGAUGGGAAAUCGCUCGGCUAAACCGCGGAACUGCAUUUGAAACUGUUUUUCUUGAGUAUCGGAGAGGUAAUCGGAAUGCCAAGUGUAGCGGUGAAAUGCGUAGAUAUUAGGAAGAACACCAGUGGCGAAGGCGGAUUACUGGACGACAACUGACGGUGAGGCGCGAAAGCGUGGGGAGCAAACAGGAUUAGAUACCCUAGUAGUC